UUAGUGGCGAACGGGUGAGUAACGCGUGAGUAACCUGCCCUGGAGUGGGGGACAACAGUUGGAAACGACUGCUAAUACCGCAUAAGCCCACGGCCCGGGCAUCGGGCUGCGGGAAAAGGAUUUAUUCGCUUCAGGAUGGACUCGCGUCCAAUUAGCUAGUUGGUGAGGUAACGGCCCACCAAGGCGACGAUUGGUAGCCGGACUGAGAGGUUGAACGGCCACAUUGGGACUGAGACACGGCCCAGACUCCUACGGGAGGCAGCAGUGGGGGAUAUUGCACAAUGGGGGAAACCCUGAUGCAGCGACGCCGCGUGGAGGAAGAAGGUUUUCGGAUUGUAAACUCCUGUCGUUAGGGACGAUAAUGACGGUACCUAACAAGAAAGCACCGGCUAACUACGUGCCAGCAGCCGCGGUAAAACGUAGGGUGCAAGCGUUGUCCGGAAUUACUGGGUGUAAAGGGAGCGCAGGCGGACCGGCAAGUUGGAAGUGAAAACUAUGGGCUCAACCCAUAAAUUGCUUUCAAAACUGCUGGCCUUGAGUAGUGCAGAGGUAGGUGGAAUUCCCGGUGUAGCGGUGGAAUGCGUAGAUAUCGGGAGGAACACCAGUGGCGAAGGCGACCUACUGGGCACCAACUGACGCUGAGGCUCGAAAGCAUGGGUAGCAAACAGGAUUAGAUACCCUGGUAGUCCAUGCCGUAAACGAUGAUUACUAGGUGU
RNAcentral lists this ribosomal RNA (716 nucleotides) under uncultured bacterium. Its description in RNAcentral is "bacterial SSU rRNA". It matches the Rfam family "Bacterial small subunit ribosomal RNA", at positions 92 to 823 of the family's 1533-position model. The record is from RNAcentral.